GACGAACGCUGGCGGCGUGCUUAACACAUGCAAGUCGAACGGAAAGGCCUGCAGCUUGCCGCGGGUACUCGAGUGGCGAACGGGUGAGUAACACGUGGGUGAUCUGCCUUGCACUUCGGGAUAAGCUUGGGAAACUGGGUCUAAUACCGGAUAGGACAGCUGUUUAGCGUCAGUUGUGGAAAGUUUUUUCGGUGCAAGAUGAGCUCGCGGCCUAUCAGCUUGUUGGUGGGGUAAUGGCCUACCAAGGCGUCGACGGGUAGCCGGCCUGAGAGGGUGUACGGCCACAUUGGGACUGAGAUACGGCCCAGACUCCUACGGGAGGCAGCAGUGGGGAAUAUUGCACAAUGGGCGGAAGCCUGAUGCAGCGACGCCGCGUGGGGGAUGAAGGCCUUCGGGUUGUAAACUCCUUUCGACAGGGACGAAGCGUAAGUGACGGUACCUGUAUAAGAAGCACCGGCUAACUACGUGCCAGCAGCCGCGGUAAUACGUAGGGUGCGAGCGUUGUCCGGAAUUACUGGGCGUAAAGAGCUCGUAGGUGGUUUGUCGCGUCGUCUGUGAAAUUCCGGGGCUUAACUCCGGGCGUGCAGGCGAUACGGGCUGACUUGAGUGCUGUAGGGGAGACUGGAAUUCCUGGUGUAGCGGUGAAAUGCGCAGAUAUCAGGAGGAACACCGAUGGCGAAGGCAGGUCUCUGGGCAGUAACUGACGCUGAGGAGCGAAAGCAUGGGUAGCGAACAGG
This 737-nucleotide ribosomal RNA is filed under the name uncultured Corynebacterium sp. Its description in RNAcentral is "bacterial SSU rRNA". It matches the Rfam family "Bacterial small subunit ribosomal RNA", at positions 28 to 776 of the family's 1533-position model. The record is from RNAcentral. Lineage: Bacteria; Bacillati; Actinomycetota; Actinomycetes; Mycobacteriales; Corynebacteriaceae.